RNAcentral lists this ribosomal RNA (579 nucleotides) under Xanthomonas arboricola. RNAcentral's name for it is "bacterial SSU rRNA". It matches the Rfam family "Bacterial small subunit ribosomal RNA", at positions 1 to 567 of the family's 1533-position model. The record is from RNAcentral. Lineage: Bacteria; Pseudomonadati; Pseudomonadota; Gammaproteobacteria; Lysobacterales; Lysobacteraceae.
ACUUAAAUUGAAGAGUUUGAUCAUGGCUCAGAUUGAACGCUGGCGGCAGGCCUAACACAUGCAAGUCGGACGGUAGCACAGAGAGCUUGCUCUUGGGUGACGAGUGGCGGACGGGUGAGUAAUGUCUGGGGAUCUGCCCGAUAGAGGGGGAUAACCACUGGAAACGGUGGCUAAUACCGCAUAACGUCGCAAGACCAAAGAGGGGGACCUUCGGGCCUCUCACUAUCGGAUGAACCCAGAUGGGAUUAGCUAGUAGGCGGGGUAAUGGCCCACCUAGGCGACGAUCCCUAGCUGGUCUGAGAGGAUGACCAGCCACACUGGAACUGAGACACGGUCCAGACUCCUACGGGAGGCAGCAGUGGGGAAUAUUGCACAAUGGGCGCAAGCCUGAUGCAGCCAUGCCGCGUGUAUGAAGAAGGCCUUCGGGUUGUAAAGUACUUUCAGCGGGGAGGAAGGCGAUGGGGUUAAUAACCCUGUCGAUUGACGUUACCCGCAGAAGAAGCACCGGCUAACUCCGUGCCAGCAGCCGCGGUAAUACGGAGGGUGCAAGCGUUAAUCGGAAUUACUGGGCGUAAAGCG